GUAAGUAAAUAUUGGUGUACAGUAGGUUUUACUGGUGUACAGUAGGUUUUACUGGUGUACAGUAGGUUUAAUUGGUGUACAGUAGGUUUAAUUGGUGUACAGUAGGUUUUACUGGUGUACAGUAGGUUUAAUUGGUGUACAGUAGGUUUUACUGGUGUACAGUAGGUUUAAUUGGUGUACAGUAGGUUUAAUUGGUGUACAGUAGGUUUAAUUGGUGUACAGUAGGUUUAAUUGGUGUACAGUAGGUUUUACUGGUGUACAGUAGGUUUAAUUGGUGUACAGUAGGUUUUACUGGUGUACAGUAGGUUUAAUUGGUGUACAGUAGGUUUUACUGUGUUUGCAGAAAAUUUCUCCAAGAACUGUUUGAUUUGCAUGACUAAUAAUAUUGGACGCGGCAUUUCAGUAUCCCCCACAUCUAAUCCAAGGCCUGAAUGACCUUUUGAGCACUUAAUGAUGGACUGC
This 462-nucleotide long non-coding RNA is filed under the name Salmo salar (Atlantic salmon). Its description in RNAcentral is "lncRNA (ENSSSAG00000107186.1)". Lineage: Eukaryota; Metazoa; Chordata; Actinopteri; Salmoniformes; Salmonidae. The record is from RNAcentral.